GAUGAACGCUAGCGACAGGCUUAACACAUGCAAGUCGAGGGGCAGCAUAAAAGUAGCAAUACUUUGGUGGCGACCGGCGCACGGGUGAGUAACGCGUAUGCAACCUACCUAUCAGAGGGGGAUAACCCGGCGAAAGUCGGACUAAUACCGCAUAAAACAGGGGCACCGCAUGGUGAUAUUUGUUAAAAAUUUAUUGCUGAUAGAUGGGCAUGCGUUCCAUUAGGUAGUUGGAGAGGUAACGGCUCACCAAGCCUACGAUGGAUAGGGGAACUGAGAGGUUGGUCCCCCACACUGGUACUGAGACACGGACCAGACUCCUACGGGAGGCAGCAGUGAGGAAUAUUGGUCAAUGGGCGAGAGCCUGAACCAGCCAAGUCGCGUGAAGGAAGAAGGAUCUAUGGUUCGUAAACUUCUUUUGCAGGGGAAUAAAGUGGAGGACGUGUCCUUUUUGUAUGUACCCUGAGAAUAAGGAUCGGCUAACUCCGUGCCAGCAGCCGCGGUAAUACGU
This 508-nucleotide ribosomal RNA is filed under the name uncultured bacterium. RNAcentral's name for it is "bacterial SSU rRNA". It matches the Rfam family "Bacterial small subunit ribosomal RNA", at positions 28 to 528 of the family's 1533-position model. The record is from RNAcentral.